RNAcentral lists this ribosomal RNA (482 nucleotides) under uncultured bacterium. Its description in RNAcentral is "partial 16S ribosomal RNA". It matches the Rfam family "Bacterial small subunit ribosomal RNA", at positions 30 to 507 of the family's 1533-position model. The record is from RNAcentral.
AUUGAACGCUGGCGGCAUGCUUUACACAUGCAAGUCGAACGGUAACAGUCCUCCAGGUGCUGGCGCUUGGCUAACGGGCGGGUAAUGCAUCGGAACGUGCCCAGCCCUGCGCGUUAACUACUCGAUAGAGUAGCUAAUACCGCAUACGAUCUAUGGAUGAAAUCGGUGGCCCGUUAGACCUCGCGCCAUUGUAGCGUCCGCUGUCAGCUUAGGUAGUUGGUGGGGUAAAGGUUCACCAAGCCAACGAUCUGUAGCUGGACUGCGAGGACGAUCAGCGACACUGGGACUGAGACACGGACCAGACGCCUAAGGGAGGCAGCAGAGGGGAAUGGUGGACAAUGGGGGCAAGCAUGAUCCAGCAAGGGCGAGUGCAGGAAGGAGGCGUUCGGGUUGUAAACUGCGUUUGUAGGGAACGAAACGGCUUUGGUAAAGACCAGGCGCUAAUGACGGUACCGGAAGAAGAAGCACCGGCUAACUACGUG